Molecule: ribosomal RNA, 1424 nt
Filed under: Dryophytes squirellus (squirrel treefrog)
Lineage: Eukaryota; Metazoa; Chordata; Amphibia; Anura; Hylidae
Description: partial 16S ribosomal RNA
Rfam family: Bacterial large subunit ribosomal RNA
Source: RNAcentral
UAAAAAUCUAGCCCCACCACCUCACAUAAAACUUUACCAAUUAAUACCCCUAAUCAAAACAUUUUAACAUCUUAGUAAAGGCGAUUGAAAAAUUAUUUGGAGCUAUAAAAAUAGUACCGCAAGGGAAAGAUGAAAUAAAAAUGAAAUAAAUAUCAAGCACAAAAAAGUAGAGAACUCCCCUCGUACCUUUUGCAUCAUGGUUUAACCAGUCAAAUUAAGCAAAACGACUUAUAGUUUAACCCCCCGAAACUAAGUGAGCUACUUCAAGGCAGCCAAUCGAGCAAACCCGUCUCUGUUGCAAAAGAGUGGGAAGACCUUCAAGUAGGGGUGAUAGACCUAACGAACUUAGUGAUAGCUGGUUACUCAAGAAAAGGAUUUUAGUCCAAUCUAAAGUUUCCAAUAAUAAAAAUAAAUACCACCAACAACUUUAGAGUCAUUCAGAUAAGGUACAGCCUAUCUGAAAAAGGAGACAACCUAUAAAGAUGGGUAACUACUGUUUACAAUAAUCAAGUGGGCCUAAAAGCAGCCACCUUUAAGACAGCGUCAAAGCUCCGUUAUCACUACCUCUAAUUCCUCUAAUAACCCGGAACCCUCCACCACCAUUGAGUACUUCUAUAGCCGUAUAGAAUAUUUUAUGUUAAAACUAGUAACAAGAAGAAGAACUUCACCUAAAUGCAAGUGUAAAUCAGAAAGGACUAACCACUGACUGUUAACAUUCAUGCAGACUAAUUAAUAAAUUAUCAAGAAAAAGUUAAUUAAAAUUAUGUUAAUCUAACACAAGAGCAUUUCAAGUAAGAUUUUAAGAAAAAGAAGGAACUCGGCAAAUAUUAACCUCGCCUGUUUACCAAAAACAUCGCCUCUUGACAUAAUAUAAGAGGUCCAGCCUGCCCAGUGACUUUGUUCAACGGCCGCGGUAUCCUAACCGUGCGAAGGUAGCGUAAUCACUUGUUCUUUAAAUGAGGACUAGUAUGAAUGGCAUCACGAAGGUUAUACUGUCUCCUUUUUCUAAUCAGUGAAACUAAUCCCCCCGUGAAGAAACGGGGAUUAACCUAUAAGACGAGAAGACCCUAUGGAGCUUCAAACUAAAUAACACUUGCUACAGCCAUAACCUCACUUCAGAGUAAUUAUAUACAUUUUAGCUUCUUGAUUAUUAGUUUUAGGUUGGGGUGACCGCGGAGUAAAAAAUAACCUCCACAUUGAAUGGGAAAAACUCCCUGAGCUGUGAACUACACCUCUAAGCACCAAUAAAUUGACAUCAAUUGACCCAAUAUAUUGAUCAACGAACCAAGUUACCCUAGGGAUAACAGCGCAAUCCGCUUUAAGAGCCCAUAUCGACAAGCGGGUUUACGACCUCGAUGUUGGAUCAGGGUAUCCCAGUGGUGCAGCCGCUACUAAAGGUUCGUUUGUUCAACGAUUAAAACCCU